Molecule: long non-coding RNA, 643 nt
Filed under: Hordeum vulgare
Lineage: Eukaryota; Viridiplantae; Streptophyta; Magnoliopsida; Poales; Poaceae
Description: long non-coding RNA (HVUL_LNC009513)
Source: RNAcentral
UGCUUGGCAAUACAUAAGAUGAUGUCCAGCAAGGGAUCGACAACCUGCCUUGACCGGUCAUGUUUUUUCAUUAUCAUCAUGCAAUGCAACAAAGAGGUUGAAAUUGCAGUGGCAUGGAUGGCAUGGAUUCUCUCCUUUUGUUGGUAGUGUCAAAGGCAUGAAAUAGAUGUAGCCAAAGAAUGUUUGACAAUGUUUGAUGCUCCUUGGUACCACUUUCUUGCAUAGCCUAGGCAAAAUUAAGGGAUAUUUUUAUAUUUUGUUGAUUAAUGCUCUGAAUAAAUAUACUUCAAAGUGUUGAUUACUUUUUAGGGUGUUAGUUAAUGUGUAGCACCUAUUGUUGUUCUCUUUAUUUUUGGUGAGGAAUGGUUGUCCCUUGGCUCAGAAGUUCACUUUAGAUUCAAAAGACACAUAAUGUGUAUUUGAGUUUUGGUUUAUAUUUCAAACAAGAGUGGUAUGAUGGUAAUUUUAGUUGCAUCACAUUGGUCCAGAUUUAAAAUAUGUCAGCUAAAUUUCAUAUGUGUUGUUGGAGCGAUAUCUUUAGAAGUUAGUAUGUGAUUCCCUUUACCACAGUUUCUAACUGUUUCAUGCUAUAUCAUGUCAGUAUUAUAUGUCAGAUUAAAAUGGCAAGGUUCUCAGUUCUGAA